AGGGCUUGCAGCAGGCAGUUGCAGUCGUCGAGGGUGUGCGCCGGAGAGGAGGCGGGCCUAGCCCGAGAGGGAGUGGGCCGGCGAGACGCUGUUACCUGAGCGCGGCCAUCCAUCCGUCGUUUCCACAGGCUGGCGAUGGGUUCCCAAUGACAACUUCGCUCCGUGUACUUGGUGCUCCGUGCAAGUAGUCCUCUACGGCUCUACAACACGGCUGCGGCCGCUGCUGAAGGCGGUCAUCGCACUGGCCGGCGGUCAUCGCACUGGCCGGCGUAGUCACCAGCGCGUCAUGGCGCUCCGCUCCGCCCGAGUGGCCCAACAGUCCAACACUGACACACCAGACGGUGUCACGAUCAGUCACACUGAGAUUUUGGCUCUAACAGGCUGUCGGCGCCAGUGGCUCCACAGCAGCCAUACCACAGGAGCUUCACCGUAGCUCCGGCACAACUGUCAUGUGGAGCACAAGCAUGGUGUUGAGUCCAGUGGCCACUGUCGCGGGGACUCCAGCGGCCAGGUGACAUCUCCAGUUCUCCUUCAUCUGGUCUUCUCUCUCCCAUCUCUUAAUCUCUUAUUUGCCCUUUUAAGUUCAGACAAGGAGACAUCACCACUUCACCACAACACCAUUUUUUUCCUUCAGUUCAAUUAACAGGUUCGCUAUUUCAAUCCCACGGCAGGUCGGCAGUCCUAAACACACAAGCAAGUUUGCAGCAUCCUUCCUGCUGUUCUUCAGCUUUUAGUUCCUCAUUGUUGUGCAGUGUAACCUACAGGAUGUCUACACGGAAAAAUUAGUUUUGGGUGUAGCUACACCACGCAUUCAUCUGGUAAAUAGAUAAAGUUUCUCUCAUUAUGAAUACUUUUAUUUCUUUCGAUCUUUUGUAACUUAUUUGAGCAAUUUUCGUACAAAGAUUUGAGCAAUAGAUCGGCCAUAGUCCUGGUAGCUACUGCCGUUGUUCCUGUUUUGACAUGUAGAGGGUGAUCUGCAGAUCUGGCAAGAUUUUGUAGGUUGUUGGCUGUGGAAGGACAAAGUGUUGUAGGCAUAUGGUUAUAGCAGUUGCUCACCGUUUAGAAGCAAUGUAGUUGACUACAUUUUCUACCUACAUGUUAAUUGUAUAUAUCUCUUUUCUUCUUUGCCUUUCUAGCUGCACCAUGGAAUUGUAUCCCUGUAUAGUUUUUGUCUGUUAUUAUUCUCUUUUGGCUUUGCCAUGUACCUCCUUUUUAUGGGUUUAUCCCCCCCUCUUCAAUAAAUAAAUACAGUGCCCCUGCGUUCAAGUCAAAAAAGAUUUGUAUCCGUGAAUACAGUUGUUAGGAAACAUGUAGGAUUCUAAAUUGUUUUGCGUCGUGCAGGUUUGGUCGUUCCUCAGUGUGCUUUUGCAGUGUAGCUGCUCAUUUAAUAAUUUGCAUAGAAACACUUCGCUUUUCUAGGAUCCAUUACCAUAACAUCUGAAUAACAGAAUAGCUUCAUACUGAAAGACACGCUAUAUUUUGUCAGUGCACAAUUUGUCAUGGUUUUAUGGAAUCCUAUGAGAUUGAUAAGUUUUUUUUGUUAUAUAGGGCAUUGAUUCUUCUAUCUUCAAAUUGUUGAAGGAUUAUUCUAGAACUACUGCCUUUAUUUUUUCAAGCAUCUUUUCUUUUCUUCGGCUGCAGAUUCAUGACAAAAAAAUCGAGUAUGCCCUUUUUAUUGCAUUUAUGAUUGGUGUGAUGCAAACACACUCCUGUGUAUUUUUCUCCUCAUUUUCAUGCACUAAUAAAUCCAUUCAACGUUUAAAUUUAAUCUUAUUUAAACUAAAACUCUGUCACUUAUUAUGGAUCGAAGGGAGUACUAGAAAUCAUCAUUAUUUACGUACUUUAAUUAUUGUUUACGUUAACUCACACUCUUAUUAUUGUUUACCAAAAAAAUAUCACUAUUGAUUUAGUCACUGCUAAACUGAACAACUCCAAUUCAUUGUCGUUAGGUUAAAUCUGAGUUUGAGUAUGUCAAUUCAAUGCACUUUGUAAGUUGACCAAAUCACGAUGUAACUUCUAUCAUUCAUGUCUGUAUUAAUUUAUAAAUAUGUCGGCUUUACUGGAAUCUUCAGGAGCCAUGACCAGUUAUUGAGGUGAAGUGGCUGACAUAUGGGAGUAAGUACUACUAUUCUGCUAGCUUAUUCUUACCCACGAGUAUUUGCUUUAGAUGAUGAAAAGAAUAUUCGUGCAACUUCAGGACUUAUUUGGAAUCAAAUAUUGAAUUGUUCAGCUCUUCAUGUGGGAUGUACAAAUAAAUGUACAACUUUUACUAGCUUAGUGGCCAUUCGUUUUCAAACUUGAAAUACAGUCAUCACCACUUAUCUCAGAUGAUUAACAUUUUGUGGAAAAUAAAGGCAUGAGAGAUACUUUUUCAAUGAAGGAACUCCCCUUACAUCUUUUUUUUUGCCGAUUUCUGAAUUCAGCAUAUUUUGUCAACUGUUCUUCAACCUGUCAGUGACAUAUAGUUAACACGUCUCAUGUCGUUCUGCAGCUCGAUCAGAGAGUAGUUCGGAAUAAGCUCGACAAUGUGUUUUCAAAAUAGAUAGCUUUUCUUUCAUUAGUUCAAUGUCUCUACCACAAGGGUACCCCAUAGAUGAAGUUUGUGGAAUCGUGUCAAUUUAGUUCGAUCAGAGAGUAGUUCGAAAUAAGAAAAACAGUGAUAUAUACAUCAACGGAACACAAUGACGAUCUAUGUAUGAACCCCUCUAAUGUUUUUUUUUAAUCAUAAUCUGUAUUCUGCAUAAAUAAUUCUGGUCACAUAUAAUACAAAUCGGAAGAUAAUGAGAAAAGUAGAUACAUGCAACAUCUCAGGGCUAAACUUGCAAGCUUCUGAACUUAAAAGUAAACUUUUCAUUUUCAAGGCUGACUAAAAUAAUUCCAAUUCUUUUUUCAGUUUAGGCUGACUAUCAUACCCCAUAGUUUGGUGAUUUGCUUGAAACCUGAAUACCUGCAUUUACCUUUGUAUAGUGGUUUUUCCUUAUGGGGUUAGGAACCAUGAAGUGGAUAAACACUGUUAUGUAUCUGCAAAGGGAAGCAAUCUAUCUACACAACAUGUUCUUUUUUUUCAUCAACUGUAUUCUACAUCAAUAUGAUGCUUUUUCUUUCGGGUUGCCUUCCAGGUUUGACAUUAAGUUACGAAGAUGCCAACUUAUUUUAUAGUUCACUGAUGCCAAUUCAAUUGUGCUAGCUUCCAUAUGAUAACUUGCUACUCUGACAUGCUGCCAUGCGUUGCAAUGUUCAGUGAAACAAAUUAGCAGUAGUCCUCUUUAAGUGCUACAAAGUAAAUUAUCAACGGUCAUUUUCCAGUGUCACUUGUUUAUCCAGGGAGAGCUCUCUAAGUGUCGUAAAUUCUCUAUUUUAUUUAGUAUAUACUCUCCUUCAUGUGCCAUUUUUUUCCCUCUCAAUGCAUAGUAAUCUAUUUAGUAAAACGUGGCCAUGGAAAACUUAUCUAAUGUACUUCUGUAGGUUUAGAACACAUGAUUUGUAGAGAUAUACAAACAACAAACUGAACGAACUGUGUCAUGUAAUUUGUAGAGAACCCCUUCUGUAAUUUGAGUGCUUAAUUUGGAUAUUUGGCAGUCAUUCUUUCUCAGAUUUGCUGAUGAUGCAGAGCUGCACUAUUCUUAGAGCAUAUGUUGUAUUUUAUGGAUAUUUUGAUGUAUCCUGCAACUAUCUUAGCAACGGCAAGCCUAUGAUAAAAGGACAUACUUGCAGAUACACCUAGAUUGCUUCUCUUACAUAGGCAUGCAAUGGAGAACAGGUGCAUGGUCAGGUAGAAGAGUACUGGCCAAGGAAUCAAGGAGAGGAGACAACAAACAUCAAGCCCGCCACUAGGAUACAUCAAGCACACCAUUGAUGAGCCCAUCUG
Lolium perenne is the source of this 3868-nucleotide non-coding RNA. The record is from RefSeq and is a predicted model, not a curated record. NCBI's taxonomy places the organism in Eukaryota, Viridiplantae, Streptophyta, Magnoliopsida, Poales, Poaceae.